UACGUAGGUGGCGAGCGUUGUCCGGAUUUACUGGGCGUAAAGGGAGCGUAGGCGGAUUUUUAAGUGAGAUGUGAAAUACUCGGGCUCAACUUGAGUGCUGCAUUUCAAACUGGAAGUCUAGAGUGCAGGAGAGGAGAAUGGAAUUCCUAGUGUAGCGGUGAAAUGCGUAGAGAUUAGGAAGAACACCAGUGGCGAAGGCGAUUCUCUGGACUGUAACUGACGCUGAGGCUCGAAAGCGUGGGGAGCAGACAGG
Molecule: ribosomal RNA, 253 nt
Filed under: uncultured bacterium
Lineage: Bacteria
Description: partial 16S ribosomal RNA
Rfam family: Bacterial small subunit ribosomal RNA
Source: RNAcentral